GACGAGGGGUCCUAGCGUUGUUCGGAAUCAUUGGGCGUAAAGCGUAUGUAGGCGGCUUUUCAAGUCAGAUGUGAAAGCCCACGGCUUAACCGUGGAAAUGCAUUUGAAACUGCUAAGCUUGAGUGCGAAAGAGGAUGGUAGAAUUCCAGGUGUAGUGGUGAAAUACGUAGAUAUCUGGAGGAAUACCGGAGGCGAAGGCGGCCAUCUGGUUCGCUACUGACGCUGAGAUACGAAAGCGUGGGGAUCAAACAGG
RNAcentral lists this ribosomal RNA (253 nucleotides) under uncultured bacterium. Its description in RNAcentral is "partial 16S ribosomal RNA". It matches the Rfam family "Bacterial small subunit ribosomal RNA", at positions 524 to 776 of the family's 1533-position model. The record is from RNAcentral.